GAUGAACGCUGGCGGCGUGCCUAAUACAUGCAAGUCGAGCGAACGGACGAGAAGCUUGCUUCUCUUAUGUUAGCGGCGGACGGGUGAGUAACACGUGGAGAACCUACCUAUAAGACUGGGAUAACUUCGGGAAACCGGAGCUAAUACCGGAUAAUAUUUUUAACCGCAUGUUUCAAGAUUGAAAGACGGUCUUGCUUUCCUCUAUAGUUGUACCCGCGCUUCAUUAGCUAGUUGGUAAGUUAACGGCUUACAAGGCAACGAUGCAUAGCCGACCUGAGAGGGUGAUCGGCCACACUGGAACUGAGACACGGUCCAGACUCCUACGGGAGGCAGCAGUAGGGAAUCUUCCGCAAUGGGCGAAAGCCUGACGGAGCAACGCCGCGUGAGUGAUGAAGGUCUUCGGAUCGUAAAACUCUGUUAUUAGGGAAGAACAUAUGUGUAAGUAACUGUGCACAUCUUGACGGUACCUAAUCAGAAAGCCACGGCUAACUACGUG
RNAcentral lists this ribosomal RNA (496 nucleotides) under uncultured bacterium. RNAcentral describes it as "partial 16S ribosomal RNA". It matches the Rfam family "Bacterial small subunit ribosomal RNA", at positions 28 to 507 of the family's 1533-position model. The record is from RNAcentral.